This 81-nucleotide small nuclear RNA is filed under the name Urocitellus parryii (Arctic ground squirrel). The record is from RNAcentral. Lineage: Eukaryota; Metazoa; Chordata; Mammalia; Rodentia; Sciuridae.
GUGCUGGCUUCAGCAGCACAAGUUCUAAAGUUGGAGCAAUGUGGAGACCAUCUGCAUGCCCCCUGCACCAGGAUGACACGC